GACGAACGCUGGCGGCGUGCUUAACACAUGCAAGUCGAACGGAAAGGCCCUGCUUUUGUGGGGUGCUCGAGUGGCGAACGGGUGAGUAACACGUGAGUAACCUGCCUUAGACAUUGGGAUAGCCUCGGGAAACCGGGAUUAAUACCAAAUAAAAUCAUAAUGACACAUGUCAUAACGAUCAAAACUCCGGUGGUCUAAGAUGGACUUGCGUCCCAUUAGCUAGUUGGUAGAGUAAAAGCCUACCAAGGCGACGAUGGGUAGCCGGCCUGAGAGGGUGAACGGCCACAUUGGAACUGAGAAACGGUCCAAACUCCUACGGGAGGCAGCAGUGGGGAAUAUUGCACAAUGGAGGGAACUCUGAUGCAGCGACGCCGCGUGAACGAAGAAGGCUUUCGAGUCGUAAAGUUCUUUUAUAUGGGAAGAUAAUGACGGUACCAUAAGAAAAAGCCCCGGCUAACUACGUG
This 464-nucleotide ribosomal RNA is filed under the name uncultured bacterium. RNAcentral's name for it is "partial 16S ribosomal RNA". It matches the Rfam family "Bacterial small subunit ribosomal RNA", at positions 28 to 507 of the family's 1533-position model. The record is from RNAcentral.